Molecule: ribosomal RNA, 239 nt
Filed under: uncultured bacterium
Lineage: Bacteria
Description: partial 16S ribosomal RNA
Rfam family: Bacterial small subunit ribosomal RNA
Source: RNAcentral
CCGGCGCACGGUGAGUAACACGUAUGCAAUCCACCUGUAACAGGGGAGUAACCCGGAGAAAUCCGACUAAUACCCAUAAUAUGGCGCUCCGCAUGGAGAGUUCAUUAAAGAGAGCAAUUUUGGUUACAGACGAGCAUGCGCUCCAUUAGCCAGUUGGCGGGGUAACGGCCCACCAAGGCGACGAUGGAUAGGGGUUCUGAGAGGAAGGUCCCCCACAUUGGAACUGAGACACGGUCCAA